GUGAAUUUCUCAACAUUUUGGCAAACUUUGAAAUUCUUCCGACUCUUAAAAGGUUAAUGGGAAUGAAUGAUUUGCAAGUUAGAUCUGUUGCUACAGAUAUAUUGUCUUAUGUAGUAUACUUUCAUCCAUCCAUGGUCCUCAACUUUGUACUGCAAGAGAUCCAUCGGAAUGACAAGAAUGACCAGCUCCUCAUUGUGAUCAUUGAGCAGCUGAUCAACAAUGCUGACCCUGGGCUUGGAGGAGAUAAUCAGCUGAAG
Molecule: long non-coding RNA, 257 nt
Organism: Empidonax traillii (willow flycatcher)
Lineage: Eukaryota; Metazoa; Chordata; Aves; Passeriformes; Tyrannidae
Exons: 3
Source: RefSeq, a predicted model, not a curated record